UCAGUGUGUGUGUUAGUGGAAGCGUCUGGAAAGGCGCGCGAUACAGGGUGACAGCCCCGUACACAAAAAUGCACAUGCUGUGAGCUCGAUGAGUAGGGCGGGACACGUGGUAUCCUGUCUGAAUAUGGGGGGACCAUCCUCCAAGGCUAAAUACUCCUGACUGACCGAUAGUGAACCAGUACCGUGAGGGAAAGGCGAAAAGAACCCCGGCGAGGGGAGUGAAAAAGAACCUGAAACCGUGUACGUACAAGCAGUGGGAGCACGCUUAGGCGUGUGACUGCGUACCUUUUGUAUAAUGGGUCAGCGACUUAUAUUCUGUAGCAAGGUUAACCGAAUAGGGGAGCCGAAGGGAAACCGAGUCUUAACUGGGCGUUAAGUUGCAGGGUAUAGACCCGAAACCCGGUGAUCUAGCCAUGGGCAGGUUGAAGGUUGGGUAACACUAACUGGAGGACCGAACCGACUAAUGUUGAAAAAUUAGCGGAUGACUUGUGGCUGGGGGUGAAAGGCCAAUCAAACCGGGAGAUAGCUGGUUCUCCCCGAAAGCUAUUUAGGUAGCGCCUCGUGAAUUCAUCUCCGGGGGUAGAGCACUGUUUCGGCAAGGGGGUCAUCCCGACUUACCAACCCGAUGCAAACUGCGAAUACCGGAGAAUGUUAUCACGGGAGACACACGGCGGGUGCUAACGUCCGUCGUGAAGAGGGAAACAACCCAGACCGCCAGCUAAGGUCCCAAAGUCAUGGUUAAGUGGGAAACGAUGUGGGAAGGCCCAGACAGCCAGGAUGUUGGCUUAGAAGCAGCCAUCAUUUAAAGAAAGCGUAAUAGCUCACUGGUCGAGUCGGCCUGCGCGGAAGAUGUAACGGGGCUAAACCAUGCACCGAAGCUGCGGCAGCGACGCUUAUGCGUUGUUGGGUA
This 910-nucleotide ribosomal RNA is filed under the name Escherichia coli. RNAcentral's name for it is "partial 23S ribosomal RNA". It matches the Rfam family "Bacterial large subunit ribosomal RNA", at positions 317 to 1230 of the family's 2925-position model. The record is from RNAcentral. Lineage: Bacteria; Pseudomonadati; Pseudomonadota; Gammaproteobacteria; Enterobacterales; Enterobacteriaceae.